Molecule: long non-coding RNA, 1038 nt
Filed under: Phascolarctos cinereus (koala)
Lineage: Eukaryota; Metazoa; Chordata; Mammalia; Diprotodontia; Phascolarctidae
Description: lncRNA (ENSPCIG00000032516.1)
Source: RNAcentral
AUUAAAAGCAUUUUGAAAAUUAAAAGCACUAUAAAAUGUUAAGAAAAUUUUUGAAAAUUUUUGAAAAGGGAGAAUUGUUAACAAUGAAAGCAACUUUUCAAGUUUCCUUCUCAGUCAGCCCAGACUUGGGGAUGCUGAGUGUUUAUUUUCCUUCAUUUAAAAAAUGCCUUAUUUUGACCAAUUGAGUUUCAUGCAUUUGUUUUCAGAAUAUCAUUGCAGCAGAGCAGCAAGUAGAAAACCUCUUGAUAUCCUACAACAUUUUGGAGCAGCCUCUUUAUUUAUAAAGAAUAGCAGACUUUGGAGAGUCACUGAAAAGGUUGUAAUCACCAAGCACAAGCAGCUGUGGAGGCCUGCCCCACUCUGAGGAACAGCAACUGCUCUCUGUCAGCACUCAAGGCCAAGGACACACCUCAGCCAUGUCCAGGGAGCAGGCUGCUCUGAGGGAUCUCAAGAUGCAUUUACCAAUCUCCUAGUUCAAAGACAGACUGUUCCAGAUGCUGACCUGUGCCUGAAUACAUGGGCAGUGUUUCUGUCUCCAUCUGCGUGUGUAGUCUGAAUCUCUGGACGCUGCUCUGUCCUUUGCCUACUUACUCUAGCUCUAAACCAUGUCCAUUUUGACCUGAGGCCUCAAUGACUCCCCCAGCCUUGAGAAUCACUUUGUCAAUUUGCCUGUUCUCUCCAAUUUGACCACCAGAUUUUGAUGGGUAUAGGAUUGUUGAUUCAGAGCGGGAAGGGACCUCAGAGGCAAUCCAGGCCAAACCUAUCAUUUUACUAAUGAAGAGACUUCAGUGAUCUUCCUAAAGGAGACAUGUAGUGAGAGGUAGAGCCAAGAUUUGAACCCAGAUUCUCUGACUCCAAAUCCAGCAACCAUAAAUAGUUGGACCACCCUUACUUUGUUUAAUAAUGCCCUGGUUGUCUAUAAUCAUUAACUUAAUGACCACUAAUGAAGGCGUUUACCCUCUAGAUUAGAAGUCCUUCAUCUUUUUUGUGUUAUGGACCCCUUGGACAGUGUCUGGUGAAGCCUUUGGAGUCUUUCUC